Molecule: ribosomal RNA, 253 nt
Filed under: uncultured bacterium
Lineage: Bacteria
Description: partial 16S ribosomal RNA
Rfam family: Bacterial small subunit ribosomal RNA
Source: RNAcentral
UACGAAGGGGGCUAGCGUUGUUCGGAAUUACUGGGCGUAAAGCGCACGUAGGCGGCCAACUAAGUCGGAUGUGAAAUCCCCAGGCUCAACUUGGGAACUGCAUCCGAUACUGGAUGUCUUGAAUUCGGGAGAGGGAUGCAGAAUUCCAGGUGUAGCGGUGAAAUGCGUAGAUAUCUGGAGGAAUACCGGUGGCGAAGGCGGCAUCCUGGACCGACAUUGACGCUGAGGAGCGAAAGCUAGGGGAGCAAACGGG